UGGGGAAUUUUGGACAAUGGGGGCAACCCUGAUCCAGCAAUGCCGCGUGUGUGAAGAAGGCCUUCGGGUUGUAAAGCACUUUUGUCCGGAAAGAAAUCGCCCUGGCUAAUAUCCGGGGUGGAUGACGGUACUGGAAGAAUAAGCACCGGCUAACUACGUGUCAGCAGCCGCGGUAAUACGUAGGGUGCGAGCGUUAAUCGGAAUUACUGGGCGUAAAGCGUGCGCAGGCGGUUGUGCAAGACAGAUGUGAAAUCCCCCGGGCUUAAACUUGGGAAUGGCAUUUGUGACUGCACGGCUAGAGUGUGUCAGAGGGGGGUAGAAUUCCACGUGUAGCAGUGAAAGUGCGUAGAUAUGUGGAGGAACACCGAUGGCGAAGGCAGCCCCCUGGGAUAACACUGACGCUCAUGCACGAAAGCGUGGGGAGCAAACAGGAUUAGAUACCCUGGUAGUCCACGCCCUAAACGAUGUCAACUAGUUGUCGGGUCUUAAUUGACUUGGUAA
Molecule: ribosomal RNA, 501 nt
Filed under: uncultured bacterium
Lineage: Bacteria
Description: partial 16S ribosomal RNA
Rfam family: Bacterial small subunit ribosomal RNA
Source: RNAcentral